GGCGUGACCUUUCCACCAAAGAUAUCUCCAUCAGGUAUAAUGGGCUCGGUGUUUGGGAGGUUGUUUUAGUGUUUAAUUCGGUGAGGCUCAAGUGUUUGUGGGUAUCAGCGAUAAUAAAAAAAAUGCAAAACAUUAUGCAAAAUCGCUGGAGAAACCGAGUAUAUUGAUAACCACGUUUUCGAACUGCUCAAGUCUCAAAUGAUCAAAACCGAACAAAUCUCAAACUCUAACCCCAAAUUUAAACAACGCAUCAUCUAUGGUACACAAAAUAAAAAUAAAAUGUCUAAAUC
Molecule: long non-coding RNA, 290 nt
Filed under: Brassica napus (rape)
Lineage: Eukaryota; Viridiplantae; Streptophyta; Magnoliopsida; Brassicales; Brassicaceae
Description: long non-coding RNA (BNAP_LNC014936)
Source: RNAcentral